ACGAAGGGUGCAAGCGUUAAUCGGAAUUACUGGGCGUAAAGGGUGCGUAGGCGGUUCGUUAAGUCUGUCGUGAAAUCCCCGGGCUCAACCUGGGAAUGGCAUUGGAUACUGGCGAGCUAGAGUGCGGUAGAGGAUAGUGGAAUUCCUGGUGUAGCAGUGAAAUGCGUAGAGAUCAGGAGGAACAUCCGUGGCGAAGGCGACUGUCUGGACCAGCACUGACACUGAGGCACGAAAGCGUGGGGAGCAAACAGGA
Molecule: ribosomal RNA, 253 nt
Filed under: uncultured prokaryote
Description: partial 16S ribosomal RNA
Rfam family: Bacterial small subunit ribosomal RNA
Source: RNAcentral